CCUACGGGAGGCAGCAGUGGGGAAUAUUGCACAAUGGGCGCAAGCCUGAUGCAGCCAUGCCGCGUGUGUGAAGAAGGCCUUCGGGUUGUAAAGCACUUUCAGCGGGGAGGAAGGCGUUAAGGUUAAUAACCUUGUCGAUUGACGUUACCCGCAGAAGAAGCACCGGCUAACUCGGUGCCAGCAGCCGCGGUAAUACGGAGGGUGCAAGCGUUAAUCGGAAUUACUGGGCGUAAAGCGCACGCAGGCGGUCUGUCAAGUCGGAUGUGAAAUCCCCGGGCUCAACCUGGGAACUGCAUUCGAAACUGGCAGGCUAGAGUCUUGUAGAGGGGGGUAGAAUUCCAGGUGUAGCGGUGAAAUGCGUAGAGAUCUGGAGGAAUACCGGUGGCGAAGGCGGCCCCCUGGACAAAGACUGACGCUCAGGUGCGAAAGCGUGGGGAGCAAACAGGAUUAGAUACCCCAGUAGUC
This 465-nucleotide ribosomal RNA is filed under the name uncultured Klebsiella sp. RNAcentral's name for it is "bacterial SSU rRNA". It matches the Rfam family "Bacterial small subunit ribosomal RNA", at positions 338 to 795 of the family's 1533-position model. The record is from RNAcentral. Lineage: Bacteria; Pseudomonadati; Pseudomonadota; Gammaproteobacteria; Enterobacterales; Enterobacteriaceae.